RNAcentral lists this ribosomal RNA (468 nucleotides) under uncultured bacterium. RNAcentral describes it as "partial 16S ribosomal RNA". It matches the Rfam family "Bacterial small subunit ribosomal RNA", at positions 28 to 523 of the family's 1533-position model. The record is from RNAcentral.
GAUGAACGCUGGCGGCGUGCCUAACACAUGCAAGUCGAGCGAUUUACUUCGGUAAAGAGCGGCGGACGGGUGAGUAACGCGUGGGUAACCUGCCCUGUACACACGGAUAACAUACCGAAAGGUAUGCUAAUACGGGAUAAUAUGCUUUAGUCGCAUGGCUGAAGUAUCAAAGCUCCGGCGGUACAGGAUGGACCCGCGUCUGAUUAGCUAGCUGGUAAGGUAACGGCUUACCAAGGCGACGAUCAGUAGCCGACCUGAGGGGGUGAUCGGCCACAUUGGAACUGAGACACGGUCCAAACGCCUACGGGAGGCAGCAGUGGGGAAUAUUGCACAAUGGGCGAAAGCCUGAUGCAGCAACGCCGCGUGAGCGAUGAAGGCCUUCGGGUCGUAAAGCUCUGUCCUCAAGGAAGAUAAUGACGGUACUUGAGGAGGAAGCCCCGGCUAACUACGUGCCAGCAGCCGCGGUAA